This 255-nucleotide ribosomal RNA is filed under the name uncultured bacterium. RNAcentral's name for it is "partial 16S ribosomal RNA". It matches the Rfam family "Bacterial small subunit ribosomal RNA", at positions 99 to 354 of the family's 1533-position model. The record is from RNAcentral.
CGGACGGGUGAGUAACGCGUGGAAAACCUGCCGUAUACUGGGGGAUAACACUUAGAAAUAGGUGCUAAUACCGCAUAAGCGCACAGCUUCGCAUGAAGUGGUGUGAAAAACUCUGGUGGUAUACGACGGUUCCGCGUCUGAUUAGCUUGUUGGUGGGGUAAUGGCUCACCAAGGCGACGAUCAGUAGCCGGCCUGAGAGGGUGAACGGCCACAUUGGGACUGAGACACGGCCCAAACUCCUACGGGAGGCAGCAG